AAUAGAUACCCCGGUAGUCCACCCCGUAAACGUUGGGAACUAGUUGUGGGGUCCUUUCCACGGAUUCCGUGACGCAGCUAACGCAUUAAGUUCCCCGCCUGGGGGAGUACGGCCGCAAGGCUAAAACUCAAAGGAAUUGACGGGGACCCGCACAAGCGGCGGAGCAUGCGGAUUAAUUCGAUGCAACGCGAAGAACCUUACCAAGGCUUGACAUACACCAGAACACCCUAGAAAUAGGGGACUCUUUGGACACUGGUGAACAGGUGGUGCAUGGUUGUCGUCAGCUCGUGUCGUGAGAUGUUGGGUUAAGUCCCGCAACGAGCGCAACCCUCGUUCUAUGUUGCCAGCACGUAAUGGUGGGAACUCAUGGGAUACUGCCGGGGUCAACUCGGAGGAAGGUGGGGAUGACGUCAAAUCAUCAUGCCCUUAUGUCUUGGGCUUCACGCAUGCUACAAUGGCCGGUACAAAGGGCUGCAAUACCGUGAGGUGGAGCGAAUCCCAAAAGCCGGUCCAGUUCGGAUUGAGGUCUGCAACUCGACUCAUG
RNAcentral lists this ribosomal RNA (544 nucleotides) under uncultured bacterium. Its description in RNAcentral is "bacterial SSU rRNA". It matches the Rfam family "Bacterial small subunit ribosomal RNA", at positions 777 to 1322 of the family's 1533-position model. The record is from RNAcentral.